RNAcentral lists this ribosomal RNA (273 nucleotides) under uncultured Staphylococcus sp. RNAcentral describes it as "partial 16S ribosomal RNA". It matches the Rfam family "Bacterial small subunit ribosomal RNA", at positions 89 to 354 of the family's 1533-position model. Lineage: Bacteria; Bacillati; Bacillota; Bacilli; Caryophanales; Staphylococcaceae. The record is from RNAcentral.
ACGUUAGCGGCGGACGGGUGAGUAACACGUGGGUAACCUACCUAUAAGACUGGGAUAACUUCGGGAAACCGGAGCUAAUACCGGAUAAUAUUUCGAACCGCAUGGUUCGAUAGUGAAAGAUGGUUUUGCUAUCACUUAUAGAUGGACCCGCGCCGUAUUAGCUAGUUGGUAAGGUAACGGCUUACCAAAGCGACGAUACGUAGCCGACCUGAGAGGGUGAUCGGCCACACUGGAACUGAGACACGGUCCAGACUCCUACGGGAGGCAGCAGGC